UUUCCUUCGGGACAGAGGAGACAGGUGGUGCAUGGUUGUCGUCAGCUCGUGUCGUGAGAUGUUGGGUUAAGUCCCGCAACGAGCGCAACCCUUGAUCUUAGUUGCCAGCACGUGAAGGUGGGCACUCUAAGGUGACUGCCGGUGACAAACCGGAGGAAGGUGGGGAUGACGUCAAAUCAUCAUGCCCCUUAUGACCUGGGCUACACACGUACUACAAUGGCUGGUACAACGGGAAGCGAAGCC
RNAcentral lists this ribosomal RNA (243 nucleotides) under Paenibacillus campinasensis. RNAcentral's name for it is "partial 16S ribosomal RNA". It matches the Rfam family "Bacterial small subunit ribosomal RNA", at positions 1014 to 1256 of the family's 1533-position model. The record is from RNAcentral. Lineage: Bacteria; Bacillati; Bacillota; Bacilli; Caryophanales; Paenibacillaceae.